Molecule: ribosomal RNA, 249 nt
Filed under: Salmonella enterica
Lineage: Bacteria; Pseudomonadati; Pseudomonadota; Gammaproteobacteria; Enterobacterales; Enterobacteriaceae
Description: partial 16S ribosomal RNA
Rfam family: Bacterial small subunit ribosomal RNA
Source: RNAcentral
AAAUUGAAGAGUUUGAUCAUGGCUCAGAUUGAACGCUGGCGGCAGGCCUAACACAUGCAAGUCGAACGGUAACAGGAAGCAGCUUGCUGCUUUUCUGACGAGUGGCGGACGGGUGAGUAAUGUCUGGGAAACUGCCUGAUGGAGGGGGAUAACUACUGGAAACGGUGGCUAAUACCGCAUAACGUCGCAAGACCAAAGAGGGGGACCUUCGGGCCUCUUGCCAUCAGAUGUGCCCAGAUGGGAUUAGCU